RNAcentral lists this long non-coding RNA (698 nucleotides) under Homo sapiens (human). RNAcentral describes it as "non-protein coding THUMPD3-AS1:17". Lineage: Eukaryota; Metazoa; Chordata; Mammalia; Primates; Hominidae. The record is from RNAcentral.
AGCCGCUUAGCGACUCUCGCGUUGCCCCCUGGGUGGGGCGGGUAGGUGUGGAAACAGGAAGAGAACUAGAACUGGAAGUAAAGCAUUGAAGAUGUGACUGAAUUGCUGCAAUCUCAUGAUCAAAUUUGAAUGGAUGAGGAGUUGCUUUUUAGGGAUGAGCAAAGAAAGUGGUUUCUCGAGAUGGAAUCUACUGGUGAAGUUGCUGUGAACAUUGUUAAAAUGCCAAUAAAGGAUUUAGGAAUUACAGAAACCUGGUUGAUAAAGCAGUGCCAGGGUGUGAGAGAGUUGACUUCAAUUUUGAAAUAAGUUCCACUGGCUGGGUGUGGUGGCUCACACCUGCAAUCCCAGUACUUUAGGAGGCCGAGACUGGUAGAUCAUUUGAGGUCAGGAGUUCAAGACCAGCCUUGCCAACAUGGUGAAACCCCACCUCUACCAAAUUAGCCAGGUUGCUCCUUGAGGGCAGGACAGUUCUUAUGGCUUUAUCCGUUGCGUAAGCACAGAGAGGUCUGCGAGGUCAAAACUAUUGUCAUGAUAGCAAGAUGCCUGUCUUUUUCAUUUAUUCUCACGGUGUGCAGAGGCUACAUGAUGUGUGAUGACAUCCUCAUUGAUGUUAAUGAAUGGUGCUAUACUUGAAUUUUCUAAGGUGUCAUUAGAUGAGGUCUUGCUGUGUUGCCCAGGCUAUUCACAGCUGCCAUCAU